AAUAAAAAAAAAACAUUGAUGUUUUCACUCUUCAGAUGAGUCUGUGAAGAGAUCUGAAAGAAAUGUGGUCUGUACUGCUGUCAUUCAGCAAGAAAUGGAUGGUUUUGGUGAAACUGCAGGGUUGCAGUGAAUAAAUAUGUGUUCGCGUAAAGAAAAUAAUAUUGAUUCUUAUGUAAUGCUUAAUUUUGGAAAAACUGAUUUCUUUCUGAACUCAAAUCGCAUUCAAUAAGAGUUAGUGAAGGUAGAACUUCUUCCAGGUGAUCCAUUCUCAUGUUUGACCUGGGCUGGAGGCUUAUGGCUGCAGCCUGAGCAAGAGCGUCUGGGAGCAACUCCUCAGCAAGAAGUCGGUGUGGUCUGUGAUCAUGGAACAGGGAAGGGCUUUGUCUUGCCAGCAUCAGAAUGGGUAGAGCUUUUGCUAUUCUAAAUCUCUCCAAGGGGAAUUGACUUGCUUUUGCUGGUAUCCUUGUGUCUAAGUUGCCAUGACAAUUUAUAUGAAUAGUUUAGUUAGGGGUCAUGAGGGAAAGACAGAUAAGAACCGUAUCUCUUGCUUUUAUAGAGCUGUUGUGUGUAACAGCAAACUUGUUAAACUUGUGAAAUGCCUAAAUUUUCAGCUUCUUGUUUGCUUAUGUAUCACAUGCUUGUAGGAAGAUUUCCUAGCAAUCUCUUCUGGUUCUUUUAGCAGGGAUUUAGAACAUGUAUUUUGAAGUCUGCUUGGACAGGAAAUUUUUUGCAUUAGGAUUGCGUGUAUCAGUCCUUCAUUUCUGUGCCAUUUUUAAAAGUCUUUCAGUGCAUGUUUGCAUUGGCUAAUAUUCCUGGCACCUUGGAAAGCUGUUGUUCUGUGAUCGAUCCAUUCCCUGUGAAGCAAGGAUUACACCUUAAGAACGUACUGAUUAUUGUUGUCUACUGAUAUUUCUCUUUAAAUCAUGUAGAUGUUGAGAAACAAAUCUACUGAAUUCUCCAACUAUGAAAAGCAGAACAAUUAGGCAAAGUGAGCAGUGACUCCACAUGGCUGAAUUGCUCCAGAUACGUGAGGAUCUAAAUCCAGAUACCAGUGUCUUACGUUAGACUCAAACCUGUAAGGACAGAGUCUGGUUCAACCCGCCGAUCUCAGGCUGCUUUCACUGUCUCUCAGCGGAGCUGCCCUAUCUGUGGCGUCUGCAGAAGUUUCAGCUUUAACAGAUGCGUUCAGGAGGCUGCCUUGGUGGUAAUGACCAUCUGUUACACCUUCAUCUCCAGAAUACAAGAAGAUAAUUGGUUAAUACUUGUUUACCAACAAGGGAAAAAAUACAUACUUUCCUUCCAUGUGUCUAAUGCUUUAUCACAAGUACCAGUAUGUAUGGGAACUGCCGAGUGACGGCCUGAACCUCUGAUGGAUCACCUGAGGCGAGCCAUGAGUCAGCCAGAGGAGCACAGCU
Molecule: long non-coding RNA, 1415 nt
Organism: Centrocercus urophasianus (Greater sage-grouse)
Lineage: Eukaryota; Metazoa; Chordata; Aves; Galliformes; Phasianidae
Exons: 5
Source: RefSeq, a predicted model, not a curated record